RNAcentral lists this unclassified non-coding RNA (341 nucleotides) under soil metagenome. RNAcentral describes it as "partial contains 5.8S ribosomal RNA, internal transcribed spacer 2, and large subunit ribosomal RNA". The stretch from base 1 to 120 matches the Rfam family "5.8S ribosomal RNA", at positions 35 to 154 of the family's 154-position model. The record is from RNAcentral.
GAUGAAGAACGCAGUGAAAUGCGAUAAGUAAUGUGAAUUGCAGAAUUCAGUGAAUCAUCGAAUCUUUGAACGCACAUUGCGCCCCUCGGUAUUCCGUGGGGCACGCCUGUUCGAGCGUCAUUUACACCCUCAAGCGCAGCUUGGUGUUGGGCGUCUGUCCCGCUCUCCGUAGCGCGGACUCGCCUCAAAGUCAUUGGCGGCGGUCGUGCCGGCUCCUCGCGCAGCACAUUUGCGCUUCUCGGAGGCCCGGCGGAUCGGCAUCCAGCAAGCUACUUUUUAUGACUUGACCUCGGAUCAGGUGAGGAUACCCGCUGAACUUAAGCAUAUCAAUAAGCGGAGGA